RNAcentral lists this long non-coding RNA (1043 nucleotides) under Manacus vitellinus (golden-collared manakin). RNAcentral's name for it is "lncRNA (ENSMVIG00005002385.1)". Lineage: Eukaryota; Metazoa; Chordata; Aves; Passeriformes; Pipridae. The record is from RNAcentral.
CCGGAAUCUCCGGGAUGAGCCGGAAUUCCCGCCUGAUCCGGCAUUCCCGGGGCUCCCCGAGGCUCUGGGAUCCAGCCCAGCCCUGGGAAUUCCCCCUUUUCUCCUCCUUUCCCCCUUUUCUCCUCCUUUCCCCCUUUUCUCCUCCUUUUCCUCCUUUCCCCCAUUUUUCCCUCCUUUCCCUCCUUUUCUCCCCUUUUUCCCCCCUUUCCCCCCCUUUUUUCCCUCCUUUCUCUCCUUUCCCUCCCUUUUCUCCCUCCACUUUUCCCCCUUUUCCUCCAUUUUUCCUCCUUUUUUCCUCCUUUUCCCCGUUCCCUCCUUUUCCCCUCCUUUCCCUCCUAUUCCUCCCUUUUCCCUCCCUUUUUCCUUCCUUUUUUCCCUCCCUUUUCCCCCCUUUUCCUCCUUUUCCUCCUUUUCCUCCCUUUUUCCUCCCCUUUUCCUCUUUUCCCCCCUUUUUUUCCUCUUUUCCCCUCCUUUUUUCUCCUCACCCUUUUUCCCCUUUUCCCUUUCCUCAUUCCCGUCCUUUUUCCCUUUUUCUCCUUUUCCCCCCUUUCCCCCCCAUUUCUCUUUCCUCUUUUCCCCCUUUCUCCCUCCUUUUCCCUCCUUUUCCCCCUUUUCCUCCCUUUUUCCUCCCCUUUUCCUCCUUUUUUCUCCCUUUUCCCUCCUUUUCCCCCCUUUUUUCCUACUUUUCCCUCCCUUUUCCCCCCUACCCCCUUUUCCCUCCUUUUCCCUCCUUUCCCCCCUUUUCCUCCAUUUUCCCUCCUUUUUCCCCCCUUUUUUCUCCUUUUCCCCCCUUUUCCCCCCAUUUCUCUUUCCUCUUUUCCCCCUUUCUCCCUCCUUUUCCCCCUUUCUCCCUCCUUUUCCCUCCUUUUCUCCCUUUUCCUCCCUUUUUUCCUGCUUUCUCCCCAUUUUUCCUCCCCCUUUUUCCCCCUUUUCCCCUCCUUUUCCCCCUUUUCCCUCCUUUUCUCCCCUUUUCCUCCCCUUUCCUCCAUUUUUCCUCCCCCUUUUCCCCCCUCCCCCCUUUUCCCUCCUUUCCCCUCCUUUCC